Molecule: ribosomal RNA, 748 nt
Filed under: uncultured Parvimonas sp.
Lineage: Bacteria; Bacillati; Bacillota; Tissierellia; Tissierellales; Peptoniphilaceae
Description: bacterial SSU rRNA
Rfam family: Bacterial small subunit ribosomal RNA
Source: RNAcentral
GACGAACGCUGGCGGCGUGCUUAACACAUGCAAGUCGAACGUGAUUUUUGUGGAAAUUCUUUCGGGAAUGGAAAUGAAAUGAAAGUGGCGAACGGGUGAGUAACACGUGAGCAACCUACCUUACACAGGGGGAUAGCCGUUGGAAACGACGAUUAAUACCGCAUGAGACCACAGAAUCGCAUGAUAUAGGGGUCAAAGAUUUAUCGGUGUAAGAAGGGCUCGCGUCUGAUUAGCUAGUUGGAAGGGUAAAGGCCUACCAAGGCGACGAUCAGUAGCCGGUCUGAGAGGAUGAACGGCCACAUUGGAACUGAGACACGGUCCAAACUCCUACGGGAGGCAGCAGUGGGGAAUAUUGCACAAUGGGGGGAACCCUGAUGCAGCGACGCCGCGUGAGCGAAGAAGGUUUUCGAGUCGUAAAGCUCUGUCCUAUGAGAAGAUAAUGACGGUAUCAUAGGAGGAAGCCCCGGCUAAAUACGUGCCAGCAGCCGCGGUAAUACGUAUGGGGCGAGCGUUGUCCGGAAUUAUUGGGCGUAAAGGGUACGUAGGCGGUUUUUUAAGUCAGGUGUGAAAGCGUGAGGCUUAACCUCAUUAAGCACUUGAAACUGGAAGACUUGAGUGAAGGAGAGGAAAGUGGAAUUCCUAGUGUAGCGGUGAAAUGCGUAGAUAUUAGGAGGAAUACCGGUGGCGAAAGCGACUUUCUGGGACUUUUACUGACGCUCAGGUACGAAAGCGUGGGGGAGCAAACAGG